Molecule: ribosomal RNA, 1241 nt
Filed under: metagenome
Description: bacterial LSU rRNA
Rfam family: Bacterial large subunit ribosomal RNA
Source: RNAcentral
UGAAUACGAGACGCUACGGCGUCGAAGCAGUCUAUGUCAUACUUCCAAGAAAAGCUUGCACUGUCAUAAACAAAUAAUGCCUGUACCAUAACCGACACAGGUGGGUAGGUAGAGUAUACUAAGGGGCGCGAGAUAACUCUCUCUAAGGAACUCGGCAAAAUGACUCCGUAACUUCGGGAGAAGGAGUGCCUUAUUCGUAAGGUUGCAAUAACAAGAUCCAAGCAACUGUUUAUCAAAAACACAGGUCUCCGCUAAGUCGUAAGACGAUGUAUGGGGGCUGACGCCUGCCCAGUGCCAGAAGGUUAAAGAAGUUGGUUAGCAUUCGCGAAGCUGAUAACUGAAGCCCUGGUGAACGGCGGCCGUAACGAUAACGGUCCUAAGGUAGCGAAAUUCCUUGUCGGGUAAGUUCCGACCCGCACGAAAGGCGUAAUGAUUUGGAUACUGUCUCGGAGAGAGGCUCGGUGAAAUAGACUUGUCUGUGAAGAUGCGGACUACCUGCACCUGGACAGAAAGACCCUAUGAAGCUUUACUGUAACUUGAAAUUGAAAUUGGACUUUAUUUGCGCAGUAUAGGUGGGAGGCGUUGAGAAUAUUCUUGCGGGAAUAUUGGAGCCAUCAGUGAGAUACCACUCUUGUAAUGUUAGAUUUCUAACUUUGGAUCAUUAUCUGGUCAAAGGACAGUUUCAGGCGGGCAGUUUGACUGGGGCGGUCGCCUCCCAAACGGUAACGGAGGCGUACAAAGGUUUCCUCUGAACGGGUAGAAAUCGUAUCUAGAGUGUAAAGGCAUAAGGAAGCUUGACUGUGAGACCUACAAGUCGAGCAGGGACGAAAGUCGGUCUUAGUGAUCUGACGGUGCUGAGUGGAAAGGCCGUCACUCAACGGAUAAAAGUUACUCUAGGAUAACAGGCUGAUCUCCCCCAAGAGUUCACAUCGACGGGGAGGUUUGGCACCUCGAUGUCGGCUCAUCGCAUCCUGGGGCGGUAGUACGUCCCAAGGGUUGGGCUGUUCGCCCAUGAAAGCGGUACGCGAGCUGGGUUCAGAACGUCGUGAGACAGUUCGGUCCAUAUCCGGUGUAGGCGUUAGAAUAUUGAGAGGAGCCUUCUUUAGUACGAGAGGACCGAGAAGGACAUACCUCUGGUGUACCAGUUAUCGUGCCAACGGUAAACGCUGGGUAGCUAUGUAUGGAGAGGAUAACCGCUGAAAGCAUCUAAGUGGGAAGCCCACCUCAAGAUAAGUAUUCUC